RNAcentral lists this ribosomal RNA (492 nucleotides) under uncultured bacterium. RNAcentral's name for it is "partial 16S ribosomal RNA". It matches the Rfam family "Bacterial small subunit ribosomal RNA", at positions 29 to 507 of the family's 1533-position model. The record is from RNAcentral.
AGUGAACGCUGGCGGUAGGCCUAACACAUGCAAGUCGAACGGCAGCACAGUAAGAGCUUGCUCUUACGGGUGGCGAGUGGCGGACGGGUGAGGAAUACAUCGGAAUCUACUUUUUCGUGGGGGAUAACGUAGGGAAACUUACGCUAAUACCGCAUACGACCUACGGGUGAAAGCAGGGGAUCUUCGGACCUUGCGCGAUUGAAUGAGCCGAUGUCGGAUUAGCUAGUUGGCGGGGUAAAGGCCCACCAAGGCGACGAUCCGUAGCUGGUCUGAGAGGAUGAAUAGCCACAACGGAAAUGGGAAAAGGGUCAGAAGCCUAAGGGAGGGAGCAGGGGGGAAAAUUUGAAAAAGGGGGGAAAGCCUAAUCAAGCAAAACGGGGGGGGGAAAGAAGGCCUUGGGGUUGAAAAGCUUUUUGUUGGGAAAGAAAAGCAGCAGGUUAAUACCCCGCUGUUCUGACGGUACCCAAAGAAUAAGCACCGGCUAACUUCGUG